UGCAGAGGGUGCAAGCGUUAAUCGGAAUUACUGGGCGUAAAGCGCACGUAGGCGGUUUUUUAAGUCAGAUGUGAAAGCCCCGGGCUCAACCUGGGAAUUGCAUUUGAAACUGGGGAACUAGAGUGUGUGAGAGGGGGGUAGAAUUCCAAGUGUAGCGGUGAAAUGCGUAGAGAUUUGGAGGAAUACCAGUGGCGAAGGCGGCCCCCUGGCACAACACUGACGCUCAGGUGCGAAAGCGUGGGGAGCAAACAGG
This 253-nucleotide ribosomal RNA is filed under the name uncultured bacterium. Its description in RNAcentral is "partial 16S ribosomal RNA". It matches the Rfam family "Bacterial small subunit ribosomal RNA", at positions 524 to 776 of the family's 1533-position model. The record is from RNAcentral.